This 253-nucleotide ribosomal RNA is filed under the name uncultured bacterium. Its description in RNAcentral is "partial 16S ribosomal RNA". It matches the Rfam family "Bacterial small subunit ribosomal RNA", at positions 524 to 776 of the family's 1533-position model. The record is from RNAcentral.
UACGGGGGGGGCAAGCGUUGUUCGGAAUUACUGGGCGUAAAGGGCUCGUAGGUGGCCAACUAAGUCGGACGUGAAAUCCCUCGGCUUAACCGGGGAACUGCGUCUGAUACUGGAUGGCUUGAGUUCGGGAGAGGGAUGCGGAAUUCCCGGUGUAGAGGUGAAAUUCGUAGAUAUCGGGAGGAACACCGGUGGCGAAGGCGGCGACCUGGGUCGAGACUGACGCUGAGGCGCGAAAGCGUGGGGAGCAAACAGG